GCUGUAUCCCGCAGAGAUCUGGAUUUACAAGUUUUCCAAUAUAUGUAAUUUCAACAAAUGACCAAUACAAUGUUGGAACACUCUGAACAGAUAUAAAUUCCAAUCAUAUCCUUGCAAAUUACAAUACAAAUAGAUGGAACAAAAUCAGACUACAGUUCAUGUAAACAAAAUGACAAUUCCUAUUUUCCUUGUCCAGCGCCAAAUACAAAUGCCUAUGAUACCUUCAGUAGAAAGGCCCCUGCAAGCACAAACAUCAGAAGCAAAAACAGAAAAAUAGAAAAACAUUAGUGAUGAACCAGUGUAGUGAUCAAGGUGGCCUCAGACCGUCCUAGUUCGAAAGUGUCGUCAUUGCACAGACAAUCUAUGUUGCCUGUUCUGCAACCAAUACUAAUCAUCACCGGCCAAGAUCAACUUUCACACUUGCAAAAACCAAAGUACAGGAAAUAAAAGUCAAGCAAUGCAGAGUAAAUUGUGUCAGAUUCAAAGUAUUCUCAGCACCCUUCCGAGGAAGUAAGACAGGGAUAACUGUAUUUUUACUUGUGAUCUCAUCAUCCACAUCCAAACUGAACAGAUCAAAAACAAUAAAAAGACACAAAAAGGAGUUGUGUGGAAUCUAUCAGAUCUUCCUAUCAAUGUGAAAGAACUGACAUGGUCGCCACGGUGGACGAUUUCCCUUUCGUAGUUUCGCAUCAUUUAGAUCCCAAAAACACAAAUACAAACAUAUAAGAAAGUAAUACAAGUUCGGUAAUAUAUGAGGCGUUUCCAGGAUAAGCUGGCACUGAGAACGCCACCAAUCAGGAUAUCACCACACAUGAAUCGCUUCUAGCGUCCGAGCCAUUACCCCGUGAGGAACACAAAUCAUCCCCCGGAAUAGGUAAUGGACACGCGCAUCAACUAAAUUAAACCAAGAAAAAAUCAGCAAAAAAUCGAUCUAAGAUACAGGUUAAAGGCGUCGGUUUUGGGGGAUCUGGGAGCUCAGACAGCCAAGGGGUUGUCUUCAAAAGCGCUGCUGAAGAGGCAGCAUCAGAAACUCUAGUCCACAUAGAUGUCAUCACCGCUACUCGAACACCCCACAACCAGCCAAAGAUGCAAGCAGAGAAGAACACGGAUGGGAAAGAAAGCAAGAAGAAGAACCGACGUAUCGAUGGUGUGUGAUCUGGGAGCUCAGACAGCCAAGGGGUUGUCUGCAGAUGCCGCUGAAGAGGCGGCGUCAGAAACUCUAGUCCACAAAUUUGUCAUCACCGCUGCAAAACUCUCAUCAGCCAUCGAAGGGAGCACGAACAAGAAGCAAAUCCAAACGAAAACCGGAAGAGCGAUGUGGAUCGGGGGAGGGAGGAGAGAGGGGAUGGAGCCGCAGGUGGAUGAUUCGU
Molecule: ribosomal RNA, 1370 nt
Filed under: Triticum aestivum (bread wheat)
Lineage: Eukaryota; Viridiplantae; Streptophyta; Magnoliopsida; Poales; Poaceae
Description: partial small subunit ribosomal RNA
Source: RNAcentral